Molecule: long non-coding RNA, 646 nt
Organism: Oncorhynchus tshawytscha (Chinook salmon)
Lineage: Eukaryota; Metazoa; Chordata; Actinopteri; Salmoniformes; Salmonidae
Exons: 4
Source: RefSeq, a predicted model, not a curated record
UAGCAACUUACAGGAGCAGUUAUGUGCUUUUCUCAAGAAACACCGAUAGAUUUUUCACGUAGUCGGCUUUGGGAUUUGAACCAGCAAUCUUCCAGUUGCUGGCCCAACGCUCUUAACCACUAGGCUACCUGACACCGGAGUUCUGUGGAAGUCAUAUUUGGACAUAGUAGAACACUGUGUGUUAGUCAUUUUAUCUCAACCCAACUGUGCGUUUGUUGAUCUUUUCCCCUCAACAAACCACUGUUUCAAUUCUCUGUCAUCCUAAACUCUUGGCUGCCCUCUGUCUGUUGUAGGAGGGGGUAACAAGGAUUGGACCUCAGGACAAACUGGUUGAAUCACAAAUAGUCCUCCAGGGCGGCACCACCUGUGAGAUAGAGAACCAGUCUGGGGUUGUGACCCUGAGGCCGCUGCCAGGGACUGUCUGCAUGAUCAAAGACAGGGAGGUGACGGAGCCCUGCAGACUGGCACAAGGGACCUUGAUCACACUUGGAGGUGUCCACAAGUUCCGUUUCAACCACCCAGCAGAGGCUGAGGUCAUGAGAGAACAGAGACGGGCCAGUGAAGGUGCACUGAACUGCAGCUACAAUGAUUUUCAAGCCUUGACCUCUGAUUCCAGGUAAACACACACACUGAAUGUAAACUCACC